GGGGAUGUGGCUCAGUGGUAGAGUGCUUGCUUGGCAUGUGUGAAGCCCUGGGUUAGAGUCCUAGUACCA
This 69-nucleotide transfer RNA is filed under the name Ictidomys tridecemlineatus (thirteen-lined ground squirrel). RNAcentral's name for it is "Spermophilus tridecemlineatus (thirteen-lined ground squirrel) tRNA". It matches the Rfam family "tRNA". From Rfam's summary of the family: Transfer RNA (tRNA) molecules are approximately 80 nucleotides in length. Their secondary structure includes four short double-helical elements and three loops (D, anti-codon, and T loops). Further hydrogen bonds mediate the characteristic L-shaped molecular structure. tRNAs have two regions of fundamental functional importance: the anti-codon, which is responsible for specific mRNA codon recognition, and the 3' end, to which the tRNAs corresponding amino acid is attached (by aminoacyl-tRNA synthetases). tRNAs cope with the degeneracy of the genetic code in two manners: having more than one tRNA (with a specific anti-codon) for a particular amino acid; and 'wobble' base-pairing, i.e. permitting non-standard base-pairing at the 3rd anti-codon position. Lineage: Eukaryota; Metazoa; Chordata; Mammalia; Rodentia; Sciuridae. The record is from Rfam by way of RNAcentral.